UAAUCUCCAACUACUGAACUGUGGCAACACUGAAACGUCACCUGAUUUUCGUUUGUCAUGAUUUCACUAGUUCACUGAAGCCGUCCUCAAACAAUUCGCCUGCCUCAGUCUCUUCAGUGCUGUGAUUAUAGGCCCUAGAUGUCCAAGAAGGUCCAGUUCACCUGGUGACAGUAACUGAAAAUAAGGAUGCCAAUGGAGAAGAAAAAUGGAGGCAACGUUCCAUGGACAGUGACAGGUGUCCUAGGGCCCCUUCAUCUGUGUACAGCUACCCAAGAUUUUCAAAACCAGCCUGCUGUCAGAUGAAAGUCCAGGAAGAGAAAUGAAUAAAUUAAGAACCCAGGUGAGGCUGGGGUCCUGAGCAAACCUUAAGAAGUCUUUCCUGUCUCUUUUCUAAUAAAUUCAUGUGAACUUGGGGUGUGACCAGACCUAUCUGAAAAUCUGAAUUUGUAGUGUGUGUGGCUCAU
Long non-coding RNA from Meriones unguiculatus (Mongolian gerbil), 464 nucleotides. RefSeq lists it as uncharacterized. The record is from RefSeq and is a predicted model, not a curated record. The transcript has 3 exons. NCBI's taxonomy places the organism in Eukaryota, Metazoa, Chordata, Mammalia, Rodentia, Muridae.